Non-coding RNA from Pseudonaja textilis, 2025 nucleotides. The record is from RefSeq and is a predicted model, not a curated record. NCBI's taxonomy places the organism in Eukaryota, Metazoa, Chordata, Lepidosauria, Squamata, Elapidae.
GAAUUCUGGGAAUUGAAGGCCACAGGUUUUAAAAUUGCAAGAUUGGAGACCCCUGUGUUAUUCUCUAGGGCAGGUGUGUUAAGUUGGAAAUUUGCAAAUUUGCAAACAAAUGGGACUUUUCUCCAUUUGAUACUAUAACAUCUGGAUCACAGUGCAUCUUCAAAUCAUUUUAGUCAAAGAUCAUCACCUAAGCAGUCCCUUUUCCUGUGCAUGUACAGCAACACUUUUGACAACUGCCUGUACAAUCCUUCCUUCAAUCCUUUAAUGGUCUUUGAAACCAUACAUUCUUGAGAAAUCUCAUAGGAGCCCUGGUAGCGCAGUGGUUAGAAUGCAGUACUGCAGGCAAAUAUUUGCCUUCAAACUGCCCACAGUAUAGAAUUCGAUCCCAAUGGGGUCAAGGUUGAUCCAGCCAACCAUGCUUCCGAGGUUGAUAAAAUGAGGACUCAGAUUGUUUGGGGGCAAUAUGCUGACCUUGUAAACUGCACAGGGAGUGCUGUAAAACACUAAGGAAGGGUAUGUAAGUCUAAGUGUUACUAUUAUUGCUAUAUCUCCCAGGAUAUUUCUUCCCAAAUCUGCUUCCUUGUCAUUCAGUCUCAUUGGCAGUAAUGCUGAUCUGUGUUUUGUAAGGUAACCAUUCAUAGAAUUGUCAAUAUCUUUUAUAGUCUGCCAUUUGGCGUUUAUUAUUUGGGAGGCAUCUAAGCACAGCAUAAGUCCCUUUUUUUCCCUCUUGAUCUCUCAUCUUGUUUUGUUUUGUUUUCCCUUCAGGCUAAAUGAAGGCAAUUCUUUCAAGCAUUCUUCACAGGACUUUUUAAAACACGCCUUCACUCUGGUGAACAUCAUCUCCAUUUGGUCAAUGCUUAUCUAAAAAACUGUUGGCCGGGGUCUGCAUUAUUUAUCUGGUUAUUUCCAAAUCCCAAACUCUCUCAUCUCUUGUACUCUGGACAGUUUCCAAAGAGGAAAACUCUUAUUUCUUCUGCUUUGUGACUACAUUUCACUCUAUCUUCUUAUACACACCUAUCAUUUUCAGCUAAGGGAUUGGCAUUCUAAUAGGAACACUUAAAUCUUUGAAAUAUAUUUUCCCCCUAAAGUGCAAGAAAACUUGAGCAGAAUGGAUGAUCCAUACAGAAUGCAUACAUGCAUGCAGGCGGCAGCUGCUUCCUUAAAAGAGGUAUUUUCCUGAUAAUAGCUGAAGAAACAAGAAUGGUUCUUACAAAGUGGUAUCACCCUUAUUCUUUAAAACAAAGCGUGUGUUUCCCUUUUAGAACUAUUCCCUCCUCUAUGCAGAAUUGUCUUGUUUCAAGGCAAUAGGUCAAACAAAUAUAUCCAUAGACCCAUCUCAUUCCCAGUCAAUCUUACUUGACUAAAUUUGGUGACAUCCAUCAGGAAAACUUUCUAAUGGAAUUAGCAACCGGACCAUAAAUAAUUCCUUUGUGGAUGUGUCACUUUGCCAUUUAGGAAAAUGCAGCAGAGGAUGUGGGAACAUAUCUUGCCAUCAUGGGCUGUGCUGGCUGGGGAUAAUGGGGAAUGAUGUCCAAUAAUGCAUAAAAGAGAAAACCACAAAUUCCUCAAUCUUUUAUACCGGAACCUAUAGAAGAGUUUUGAUUUAAAUAGCUAAAGACUUUUCCUAUCUUCAUCCCAUCAGCCUCUCCAAGGUAAAAGAGGGGUGUGUAGAAAAGAUGAAUAUGAGGACUGGAAUAUUCUCCCCGAGAUUUUAAGUUAAGCCACAGGGGAAGAAAUGACUCAUUUAGAAGCUCUUACGGUCUGUACUUUUGAGUCAGAAAAUCUAAGCUCUGGUAACACCUCUCAAAAUAGCAGCUCAGGUGAUGCGAUAAUGAAAGCAACAGAUUCUAUGCUCAAAAACCGAUGUCUUACCCAUAAAAUAAUGUCGGUUUUUCUGAAUAUGAGCAGUAACAUAAAAAGGAGCUUGUAAAAUAUACUCACAAGUGAAAUGAGCGCCUCCCUUUCUGUGUUGGACCAUACCCCGUUUGUAAAGUUAAGUACUUCUAUAGUGUAGGUCAGUUCUUG